Long non-coding RNA from Gallus gallus (chicken), 2453 nucleotides. The record is from Ensembl. Lineage: Eukaryota; Metazoa; Chordata; Aves; Galliformes; Phasianidae.
GCAGAGGAAAACUCUAGACCUCAGGGCAGGGUAGUCAUUUGCUUUCCAAUUAAUAUACCGGCACACAGGCUGUGGGAUCAAACUGUCGUCUUUUUGCCCUGUAUGAAAAUCUUCAACCCGGAUCUCCACGUUCCAGUGUUUACUCUCUGCAAAAUCCCAGCAGAACGAGUUAUCAGAAAAUGGAUGAAAGAAUGCCCUCUAGAGGCAGAAUUCAGCUGAAUAAAAUUCCCAGAUACAGAGAAGAAGAAUUGGAGAACAUAAACAUUACAGCCAUAUGGAGAAGAGUUGGCAUUGCUCAAGCCUCGUGUAAAUACAAACAAGGAAAUGCUGCCUUCUACGAUGCCUGUUAUAGCAAUGAAACUGUAUGAAUUUCAUCCAUGAUUUCUGACAUUUGAUCUUCGUAUAGAAGCUUGCUUUUGAAGAGGAGUCUGCUGACUGUCCACCUUUAGUAUGCUUUGGUGUGCACUGGAGGAUGCAUUCAGAUUCCUCUCCAGUGAAACUGGAUUGAAAAAAUGCUCCAGGAAUGCACCUCUUUUACUCCAAUUGCUAAUGAGCAUUAAAUCCACGGGACCAGAUAAAAAUGAGUCCAAAUUAAAUCUCUGAAGCAUGUAGUGCAACGUUGAGUCCUGGGAACAGCUGUUUCACUUCACAGAAGCACUUCUGCUGUCCCAGGUCAGCAGAACAAUUAAACGUGAGCCCAGUGUUAACAGUUUUACUGUGCAGUACUUUCUGGUAUGGACUCCUGGCAAGAACUGCAGAAAACAGGAGCCAAAGUGAAACAUUUCUGAAUUUCAACAGAGGACGAGGAGUCAAGGCAGACAGUAAUCUGAGGCUGAGCACAAAAUCCAAGAUGGAACAUGGGCAUCGAUCGCUUCCUAUAAAUAACAUGGAUGAGAGGCUUGAAGUACCUUGAAGAUAAUACGUAAAACUUUUAAAUUAUAUCCUUGCUCUUAAAAAAAGAAAGAAAGAAAAGGUCGAUGAAGCUUCUUAAUCCAAAAGGUAACAUGAUCAAAAUGAAUUUCAGGACAGCUAAGUCGAGGCACAACAUUCCAAGCAGCUUGAGUCUGACAGGCUGGGAGGAAAGUAGGUCAAGCAGGAGGCUGUGGUGCAGCGACAGGAGGGCCCUCACUGAGGUUUGGACCCAGAAGUUUGAAUUUCCUGCCCGUAUUUCUUGACUUAAAAAUGCUGUUAGUCAAGGUUUGGUUUGUGGGAUAAGUUACAGCCUUUCAAAUGCCCCUGUAAAAGCACUGUUUGCUUUCUUUGCAGAAGAGUUCUAAGAACACUGUGAAGGUAAGGGGACAAGGCAGGGCAGACUGGCUCUGCACCCUCCUCACAGUGAUGGCAAAAAAGAUAACUUCUCAAAGCCAAGGAAUUGCACCUCUGCCUGUGUAGCCUAUGUGAAAUCAGAAGCAAUUCCAAAGUACCUCACAGUCUUAAGUAUAUGCUGUAGAGAUCGCUUGCCAUUUGAAAACUGCAGUCUCCUUUUGAGUAAGGCCAAAGUCCCUCAAUAAGACAGAGGAAGUUAAUAGCCUGCCUUUCCCCCCACACUGCACGUAAAAAAAACCAACCAUCAGAGCAGAGCCCUUAUAGUAUUUUGAUUUAAAUCAGUGUCUUGCAAUUCAUUUACUCUGGAAUUCCUUUAAAAUUCUGCACAGACUGUACUUGUGGGAGCAUAACUUAAAUCAUGCGCUCCUACCUGCACUCUGUUAUUGUGUCUACAGGCACAGCAAUUAAUGCAAUAGGCUUUCUUAAUGAAGAGAGCAUGAAAUUUGCACAGGAAUGAGUAAAUUAACAAGAAUUAAUAAUUCAAAGUUUUGCUCACUUGUGUUUAAAAGAAUAGAGUUGCCUACAUGCAACUGAAGGCUGCUUAAUGAAAAUGGGAUUGAUAAAGCAUACAUAUUAAUAUUUCCAUUAUUAUUAUAAAAUAAGCAUCUGGUUGGGAUAGUGAUUAGCUUCAAAUAAGGUAAUUCUCAUUAAAUAUGGGCAGUAAGGAUUUUUAUAGCCUAUUCUUUGUUAGAGACACUAUUUCCCAGUUAUAUAAACUGAGACAGAAACCAUCUAGAAGUCUCUCAUGUGGCAUCUCUGUAGAGAUCCUGCCCCCUUGAAGGGUCAGGAGAAUUCUAUUAGGUCUGUUAGCAUCCAAGUUAGGAAAUUCAAGAAAAAACAAAACUGUUCUCCACCACAGGUAUUAACACAAAAUGUCUAAAAAUUAUGAUACUCAGCACUGAGAUAAAGAGCUUGGUAAAGUUUGUACACUAAAUUAUUUGAAGCAUGAAUUUAUUGUUUCCUGAUAUAAGCAAUGUAAUUAGAAGAGCAUAACCGUGAUUUUGUAAUGGCCAGAGUAUGAACUGGGAUAUGAACACUGAUGAAUUUUAAAUUAUGUCAUUUGAAGCCAGCAAACAGUGGAAUUACUAUAAAUGAUUUCUGAAAUAAAACAUGAUUUAAAUUCUGUC